AUUGAACGCUGGCGGCAGGCCUAACACAUGCAAGUCGAGCGAGCGGCGGACGGGUGAGUAAUGUCUGGGAAACUGCCUGAUGGAGGGGGAUAACUACUGGAAACGGUAGCUAAUACCGCAUACCAUCAGAUGUGCCCCGAUGGGGUUAGCUAGUAGGUGGGGUAACGGCUCACCUAGGCGACGAUCCCUAGCUGGUCUGAGAGGAUGACCAGCCACACUGGAACUGAGACACGGUCCAGACUCCUACGGGAGGCAGCAGUGGGGAAUAUUGCACAAUGGGCGCAAGCCUGAUGCAGCCAUGCCGCGUGUGUGAAGAAGGCCUUCGGGUUGUAAAGCACUUUCAGCGAGGAGGCGUUACCCGCAGAAGAAGCACCGGCUAACUCCGUGCCAGCCGCCGCGGUAAUAC
This 406-nucleotide ribosomal RNA is filed under the name uncultured bacterium. RNAcentral's name for it is "partial 16S ribosomal RNA". It matches the Rfam family "Bacterial small subunit ribosomal RNA", at positions 30 to 526 of the family's 1533-position model. The record is from RNAcentral.